This 488-nucleotide ribosomal RNA is filed under the name uncultured bacterium. RNAcentral's name for it is "bacterial SSU rRNA". It matches the Rfam family "Bacterial small subunit ribosomal RNA", at positions 28 to 526 of the family's 1533-position model. The record is from RNAcentral.
GAUGAACGCUGGCGGCGUGCUUAACACAUGCAAGUCGAACGGUGAAGGAGGAGCUUGCUCUUCUGGAUCAGUGGCGAACGGGUGAGUAACACGUGAGCAAUCUGCCCUUGACUCUGGGAUAACAGUUGGAAACAGCUGCUAAUACCGGAUACGAGACGUGACCGCAUGGUCAACGUCUGGAAAGAACUUCGGUCAAGGAUGAGCUCACGGCCUAUCAGCUAGUUGGUGGGGUAAUGGCUCACCAAGGCGACGACGGGUAGCCGGCCUGAGAGGGUGACCGGCCACACUGGGACUGAGACACGGCCCAGACUCCUACGGGAGGCAGCAGUGGGGAAUAUUGCACAAUGGGCGAAAGCCUGAUGCAGCAACGCCGCGUGAGGGACGACGGCCUUCGGGUUGUAAACCUCUUUUAGCAAGGAAGAAGCGAAAGUGACGGUACUUGCAGAAAAGACGACCGGCUAACUACGUGCCAGCAGCCGCGGUAAACU